AUGAAAGCCCUGGAAACUAAAAUCUCCAGCAGCAUAGGUAGUAGUAUUGCAUACUUGUCCAUAUUGCCCUAUUCAUGUGCUUUAACCAUGAUCUGGAGGAAGAACUUGUAGGGGUGAGGAGGUAGUUCAGUCUCCUUGGUCCAUUCAGUCCUUGUGUCUGU
Unclassified non-coding RNA from Chelonoidis abingdonii (Abingdon island giant tortoise), 161 nucleotides. The record is from Ensembl. Lineage: Eukaryota; Metazoa; Chordata; Testudines; Testudinidae.